This 440-nucleotide ribosomal RNA is filed under the name uncultured bacterium. RNAcentral describes it as "bacterial SSU rRNA". It matches the Rfam family "Bacterial small subunit ribosomal RNA", at positions 338 to 795 of the family's 1533-position model. The record is from RNAcentral.
CCUACGGGGGGCAGCAGUGGGGAAUAUUGCACAAUGGGCGCAAGCCUGAUGCAGCGACGCCGCGUGAGCGAUGAAGGCCUUCGGGUCGUAAAGCUCUGUCCUAAGGGAAGAAUAAUGACGGUACCUUAGGAGGAAGCCCCGGCUAACUACGUGCCAGCAGCCGCGGUAAUACGUAGGGGGCGAGCGUUAUCCGGAAUCACUGGGCGUAAAGGGUGAGUAGGCUGCCCUGCAAGUCAGGAGUUAAAUCCAUCGGCUCAACCGAGGUCACCUCUUUAAACUUUAGGGCUUGAGUUCAGGGGAGUCUCGCGGAACUCCUACUUUUGCCUUUAAAUGCCUACAUAUUAGGCGCAUCUCCAGUGGCGAUUGCCGCUCUCUUUACUGCCACUUACUCUGCGGCCCGAAAUCUUCUGGUCCUCUCCGGAUUAGAUACCCGUUUAUUC